GAUGAACGCUGGCGGCGUGCCUAAUACAUGCAAGUCGAGCGAACAGACGAGGAGCUUGCUCCUCUGACGUUAGCGGCGGACGGGUGAGUAACACGUGGAUAACCUACCUAUAAGACUGGGAUAACUUCGGGAAACCGGAGCUAAUACCGGAUAAUAUAUUGAACCGCAUGGUUCAAUAGUGAAAGACGGUUUUGCUGUCACUUAUAGAUGGAUCCGCGCCGCAUUAGCUAGUUGGUGAGGUAACGGCUUACCAAGGCAACGAUGCGUAGCCGACCUGAGAGGGGGAUCGGCCACACUGGAACGGAGACACGGUCCAGACUCCUACGGGAGGCAGCAGUAGGGAAUCUUCCGCAAUGGGCGAAAGCCUGACGGAGCAACGCCGCGUGAGUGAUGAAGGUCUUCGGAUCGUAAAACUCUGUUAUUAGGGAAGAACAAAUGUGUAAGUAACUAUGCACGUCUUGACGGUACCUAAUCAGAAAGCCACGGCUAACUACGUG
RNAcentral lists this ribosomal RNA (497 nucleotides) under uncultured bacterium. Its description in RNAcentral is "partial 16S ribosomal RNA". It matches the Rfam family "Bacterial small subunit ribosomal RNA", at positions 28 to 507 of the family's 1533-position model. The record is from RNAcentral.